CGCGUCGAUAGAAUAUAAAGUUCAUGGCUCUGAAGAAGCUAGAGAGGUUCAGAGGCCUCGAUGUGG
This 66-nucleotide transfer RNA is filed under the name Anadara antiquata. Its description in RNAcentral is "tRNA-Phe". The record is from RNAcentral. Lineage: Eukaryota; Metazoa; Mollusca; Bivalvia; Arcoida; Arcidae.